Molecule: ribosomal RNA, 306 nt
Filed under: Triticum aestivum (bread wheat)
Lineage: Eukaryota; Viridiplantae; Streptophyta; Magnoliopsida; Poales; Poaceae
Description: partial small subunit ribosomal RNA
Source: RNAcentral
AUGCAGCGGGGCAUCUAUGGGCCCUGGGCUCCAGUGCACGGGUACGCCGUCGGAAUGGCGCCCGUGCGGGCCAACGUCGGCAGGCAGUACCAGGUGUUCGGCGGAGAGCGUUUCAUGGCCCAGCAAUACUACGGGUACGGGUACAAGGAAGGAGCGUACGGCGCAGGUAGCAGCAACGGAGGAGCCGCCAUUGGCGACGAGGAGAGCUCGUCCAACAGCGUGCCGGCGCCGGGGGAUGGCACGGGGGAGCCAGAGCCAGAGCCAGCAGCAGAAGAAUCGCAGGACAAGCCCGUCCAAUCUGGCUAG